Equus caballus (horse) is the source of this 5155-nucleotide long non-coding RNA. RefSeq lists it as uncharacterized. The record is from RefSeq and is a predicted model, not a curated record. NCBI's taxonomy places the organism in Eukaryota, Metazoa, Chordata, Mammalia, Perissodactyla, Equidae.
UGCCGAAGCAGAGGGCAUGAACUUAACCACUAGGCCAUGGGGCUGGCCCCCAGCAUUUUCAUUCCUCACCCUUUUCUUGUCCUUAUAUUCUUUUAGGCUAAUCUUUGAAAUGUCAGUCUUGGUCCACAGAAACAAAAAUUUGAAAAAAGGAAAAAAGGGAAUGCUAUAAUUUCUUUCAAGUUGUAAAAGUAAUACACACAUAAAAAUUACUAACUUUUUUACCAAUAAAAAAUCAUCUUUUGGCCUUCAAUCUAACAAACUAAUCAGAAAAGAAAAUUGCAUCAGUCAUUCUGAAAAUGCCUUUUUUGCAUAAAAUGUUACCCUCUUAGAAUAAUAAUGCAGCAGUUCUCAAACUUGAGCACAUUUCAGAAUUACCUGGAAGGCUUGUAGAAGCACAAAUUACUGGACCUCACCUCUGGAGUUUUUGAUUUAAUAGGUCUGGGGUGGGGCCCAAGAACUGGCAUUUCUGACAAGUCCCCAAGUUGAAGUUGAUGCUGCUAGUCAGUGGACCAAAUUUGAGAACUGUUGGUGAAAUAUUAGAGCUCAAAAAAGACUUAAGGAUCAUUUCUGCCUUAUUUAAAGCUCUAUUGGUUGCAACUGACAAACUCCCACCUGAGAAUAGACUUUAUUGGAAGCAGCUGGGGUAUCUGCCAGACUCCAAGAUAAAGUUGGACAGUCAGGCCAGCCAACAAGCAGAUUGAGGAGUGCAGCAACAACAGGGAGGGAGCCUCCUCUGUGUCUCUCCCUGUCUCUCUUUCUCUCCACUCCUCCUCUGUGUCUCUCCCUGUCUCUCUUUCUCUCCACUCCCAAAUCGAAGCUUGGGGUUGCUUUGUUCAGAUAAUCAAGGAAGAGAUCUGAUUGGCAACUGGCCAGCUAAUGAAUGGACUCUUCCCAUGGGGUCGAAGUUCUCCCCUGCUCAGGCCACAGGUGCAGAGUCUCUUAACCCAAAUAUGGUACCAGGAGGGAGAAGGGAGCAGUUCUCAGAGAAGAGUGGUGUAGACUUGGCAAAGACUUUAAUCAGUGUCUACUGUAUCAUAUGAACAAUUUUUCAAAAGAGAGAACUGUGGUUUGGGGAAAGUAAAACACCUGCCAAGGAGCAUGUGUCAAAGAAGUGGCAAAGCUGAAGCCCAUCUUUUUGUUGGAGGGGUGGGCAUGUGGACCCAAAGCUGGCCCCGAAGUGGCAAGUAGAGAUUUGUUUCUCAGUCAGUAGUAGGCUGGAGCUGCUGGUACCAGCUCCAGAGAGCUGAAUGUUAAAUAUUCAGGAAUUUUACCAUCAGAUCAACCAUUGGGAGCUGGAAAUUUGCCAUAGUUGGAGUAUUCACACCAUGAAAAUUGGCUAAUGUUACAAACCAGCACUUUUUUUUUUCUUUCCAAAGGGCCAGUUUACUAGCACGCCAUUGCCUAGAGCCAUGUGGGGAGAAUUUACGAUUAAUGUAGAUGACACAUUUCAGAUGAGUGAAAAUGUUUGCACUUUUUUCCAGUAUUUGCCAUUCCUAACCCUACCAUUAGCUGAUUGUACAGGGGCUGCCAGCUAGAACCCACUUUGCAUGUCCAAUCCCUUAUCCUCUCUCCCAUAGUGGCUGGCAUUCUUUCUCUCUGAUACUCAUGUGCAAAAUAAACUCACUGUCUCAUUGACUUUGUGCCACUCUUGUUCCCAGAUUCAAAGCUGGCUCCUUCCUAACUGUUGAACGGUAGAACUUCAAUUACAAAAAUAAGACAAGCCUGAGCAAGCAUAUAAGACAGAGAGAAGUGUCUUUAAGAGAUUUACUUUAAAAAAAAACAAAACUAGUAAGGCAGCCAAUAAGCAAAUGCCCCCAGGGAUAUUGACUUACUGUGUAGUUAUUUAAAGAAGGAAAUUCGUGUGCAAAUUGCCCAAGACGUCUUUCUCCAGCUCCUGUUGUGUGGCUUGGCUGUCCACUACCUCAUUCCCAUCAGCAGACAAAGGCUGGGAGAGAAAGAAACCUCCGUGACUAGUUUGGGACCUGGGAUUUGGGAGAAGAGCAAAGAUGUGAGUGAAACAAUAGUUUCAGCGACCAGCCAGAACCCAAGGAGAAACGGAGAAGAAAGGAGUCAUUGUGAAAUGGAAUCGCUCAAGAGGACCAUGAUAUUUGAGAGCUUCAUGUUUUUCUCUGGUGCUUUGUAAUUCUCUUUGCUAUCUUCAUCUUUAGGAAACUGAUUAACCACUGUAAUUUAGGUUGUGUUAGCAAUGCCUUAGGAAAUGAAGGAGGAACAAUCUUCUUGGAGCAAAGCCAGGAGAGAGAAGCAGAAGCCUUCAGAAGCUGUUACAAGGUGAAACAGCUUGCCGACAACUUCGAAAGUUGCUACUACCAGGCAGGAAGAAUUGCAAGUCAUUAUCAGGACAUCUUUAAAAAUUCCCAGAGGAAAUGUAAUGAAUAUAAUAGAUAUGCCAGAAGCAAGAGACAGUCAGACAUGAAAUCAAUGUAGAGAAAAAUAAAAACAUGCUAAUUUAUAAUAUAAAACAGCUCCGGGUGCUAAACCAGGCUGACUGUCCAAGAUGCUUUGCAGUGGAGAAACUGGAGCUGAACACCUGCCUCCUCCCAUACUUGUGCCUUGUUGGACAAAGAUGGCCACAGCCUCAGUCCCUCUUGGACAGCCACCAACAUGUCUUGAUCACCUGGGAUUUCUCUGGUACAGCUCUCAAGAGCCUGUAGUCCUUGCAUAUCUCAAACUGACCUGUUUAGGCAUCCUGAAAUUCACCACAAGAGUUUAUCCCUCAUAGCACGACAUGCCAUUAUAAAGAUUCAUUAAUUCAUGACUGUGCUUGAAGAACACUACCAUAAAAUAUGCCAGUCACAUGACAAAGCAUAUCUUACAGAAGUGCAAGUGAUGAUUAGAAUGGAGCAGGAGGAAAACUGUUACAGCCAACUUGCUUUGGACACCCUCUAAGUGAAAUAAUGUUCACCCAGCAGUCUCUUAGGAACUGAUACUAUGCUUAACAUAUUUUGUGGUUUUAUAAAUAUCAUCUGCGUACUUAUUAAAUGUAAUUCAUGCCAAUUUUAAAAAAAAUUAAACAAUACAGAAGUGGAUAAAGUAGGAUGAGAAAGUUCUCUUCCCUGAUUCAAUUCCAUCCCUAAACUAUUCUGGAUUUGAAAAUACAGAUAUUGAUAUUGAUACAUACAAGUAGAUAUACUUUUUACAUGAGAUCAUAUGUGCAUCCAAUUUUGUAACUUGCCUUUUUCACUCAUCAGUAUAUUGUGGACACUUUCAAUGUCAUAUGUGUAGAUUUUCCUUUUUCCAUUUAAUAGUUGCACAGGAUUCUAUUGUAUGAAUAGUUUAUUUAACCAUAGUUUAUUUUAACAGUAGUAUCUGAAACAUAGAAAGCUCUCAACAAAUGUUUGCUAUUAUUACUUAUAUUCAUACAAAUUUUUCCAUAUCUCCUUAUUUAUACUUUCUCAUUCCUAAAAUUAUUUAUUUGUAUUUUCUCUUCUUAUUUUAAUGUAAAAAUUUCCAGAAAUACGUAUAUUUUAAAGAAUAAACUCUGGCUUUUAUUUAUCAAGCCAACAUUUUAAUUUUUGUCUUUAUUACUAUGUUCUAUUUUCUUUGGUUUAAUUUUGAUGUUCUUAGUGCCUCCCUAGUGCAGUAGGCAGGACUUCAGUCUGUAAUUUUGAUGCUCUUCUUGUACCUUCUUAAGUAUAUAGUUAUGUUUAUUUUUUCUCCUGUUUUCUAAAAAGGCAUUCUAAAACCGUCUAAGGAAAGUAUUUGAAUGUGGCUUUGGCUGCAUCCCUGUGUUUUAAUACAUAGUAGCCUCACUAUCAGUUUAUUUAAAUCAAUCUUAAUUUCAGUUUUGAGUUUCUUUUAAUUCAAGAAUUAUUUAGAAUAGCGUUUUUAUAUUUCCAAAUAUAAAUAUUUUUUAUUGUUAUUGCUAAGUUCGAGUUUUAUUGCAUUGUGUUUGGGGAAUGUGGACCAUAUGAUUUCUAUUUUUAAGAAACCUCUGAGAUUUUCUUUGUCAUAGAAGGGGCAUUUCUUCUACCACAUGUGUUUUCAUUGUGCUGAUGAGAUAUAAUGCAACCCAUUAAUCAGAGAACAUGAUGCAGUACACGCUGCUGUUAUUUAUAAUGAGUUUGCCAUCUGGAAGAGGCUCUGUGCAUACAGGAAAUGAACCAUUGCUUGCUCCAUGCUGGAAUGCACACCUCCUUUGCUAGGUGAGUUGCUCAGCUAGAAUCAUAAUCCAAUGUUUACUGUUAAUGUUCGCAAACUGUGAUACCAGCAAACUGCAAGGUCAAUAACAAAGAUGAUAGCUGUGACUGAGAAAUUCCCACUGUGUAAACUGAAGGGCAAAUGAGAACAUGCCAUGCUUUUUGGGCCAAUUUUGAUCAACCAAAUUAUUACUUUUUGCUAGCAGUGAUAUCCUCAGCUGAUCACCCUGCCUUAUAUCCUAGAGCUGUAUGCCAAUAUAGUAGCCACUAGACAUAUAUGGCUAUUUAAAUUUAAAUUAAUUAAAAUUAAAUAAAAUUCAAAAUUCAGUUCCUCAAUUGCACUAGGCACCGUGUUCAACAGCCAUAUGUGCCUAGUGGUUGUUGUAUUAGACAAUGCAGCUAUAAAAUAUUUCCAUUGUGACAAAAUUUUCUAUUAGAUAGCACAGCUCUAGAGGUAAAAAUAGAUAGUAUGAUGGCCUUUUCAUGUGUCCACUUGGCUAGGCUACAGUCCUCAGCUGUUCAAUCAAAUACUAACCUAGGGGUUGCUAUGAAGGUAUUUAGUAGAUGUGAUUAAAAUCCAUAAUCAGUUGACUUUUGCUAAGGGAGAUUAUCCUAGAUAUUUUGGGUGGGCUGAUACAAUCAGUAGGAAAGCCUUAAGAAUAGAACUGAGGUUUGCUUGAUUAAGAAGAAAUUCUUCCUGUGGAUGUUUCAGCCCAUGCCCGAGAGUUCCUACUAGCCCUUCCCCAUGGCCUGCCCUACAGAUUUUGGAGUUGUUCUACAUAUAUAAAUACAUAUAAAAUCUCCUAUUGAAUCUGCUUCUCUGGUUGAACCCUGACUAACACAGAUGGGAACUCUCUCAUCUGCACAAUCUAAAACUACAUACAGACCUGCCCCCAAAUCAUCUUCACCUGUUCUCCUGUCUCAAAACACAGGAAAUAUCCUUCGUCCUUUAUCAGCCUGUCUUUGCACAGUACUCUGAGUCCCACCUCCUCUCACCU